GCCCCCGUGGCCUAAUGGUUAGGGCGUGUGACUUCUAUCCUGGAGAUCUCAAGAUUGCGAGUUCGAGUCUCGCCGGGGGCU
This 81-nucleotide transfer RNA is filed under the name Aspergillus egyptiacus. RNAcentral describes it as "tRNA-Arg". It matches the Rfam family "tRNA". From Rfam's summary of the family: Transfer RNA (tRNA) molecules are approximately 80 nucleotides in length. Their secondary structure includes four short double-helical elements and three loops (D, anti-codon, and T loops). Further hydrogen bonds mediate the characteristic L-shaped molecular structure. tRNAs have two regions of fundamental functional importance: the anti-codon, which is responsible for specific mRNA codon recognition, and the 3' end, to which the tRNAs corresponding amino acid is attached (by aminoacyl-tRNA synthetases). tRNAs cope with the degeneracy of the genetic code in two manners: having more than one tRNA (with a specific anti-codon) for a particular amino acid; and 'wobble' base-pairing, i.e. permitting non-standard base-pairing at the 3rd anti-codon position. The record is from RNAcentral. Lineage: Eukaryota; Fungi; Ascomycota; Eurotiomycetes; Eurotiales; Aspergillaceae.